Molecule: ribosomal RNA, 250 nt
Filed under: uncultured bacterium
Lineage: Bacteria
Description: partial 16S ribosomal RNA
Rfam family: Bacterial small subunit ribosomal RNA
Source: RNAcentral
UACGAAGGGUGCUAGCGUUGUUCGGAAUCACUGGGCGUAAAGCGUGCGUAGGCGGCUUAGUAAGUCGAUUGUGAAAUCCCGGAGCUUAACUCUGGAAUUGCAAUCGAAACUGCUUAGCUAGAGUAAGAUAGAGGACAGUGGAAUUCCUAGUGUAGGGGUGAAAUCCGUAGAUACUAGGAGGAACACCAGAAGCGAAGGCGACUGUCUGGGUCUUUACUGACGCUGAGGUACGAAAGCGUGGGGAGCAAAC